Molecule: long non-coding RNA, 982 nt
Filed under: Homo sapiens (human)
Lineage: Eukaryota; Metazoa; Chordata; Mammalia; Primates; Hominidae
Description: HSALNT0319481
Source: RNAcentral
CGUGGACCCAAGAAGUCCCUGUGCGCUUGCGCAGAGACCGAACUACCGCUUUCCCCGUAACCAGGGAGACUGCAGUUUGCAGUGAUGUGGCUAAGAUACCCUUGUGCUAUUAAAGGCACAUUUACGUAUCUUUCAACGCAGUUUGUACCUUUGUUUAGGGUUCUAUUGAACUUUCUCUGUGCUCUUUAGAAAACCGUCGAAUAAAGAACUCAAAUGAUGCUGUUUUUGGACAGGGAGGUCAUGGACCAAGUACAAAGCGGCAAAAGGAUGGAAUUAAGGGAUAUUUCCAGUGAAAGAAAGAAGAAAGCAUGCUUUUCUCUUGACUGUGCAGAAAAAAAAACUAUGUUUCUUUGAUUCUCCAUUUUACUAGAUGCCAUACCUUUGCAAUUACUUCAUGUGGAGUCUUGACCAAGAUUCAGGAAAUACUAGAACUUUCAGUCCCAGAAGGUUACUCUGGGCAUUACUAGUCCCCAUCAUUAUGAGUUGAGUUUUACUAGUUAAUUUCAGACGAAAAAUAUUUGUUUUUCCCCAAAUUCUGGGGUUACGUACUUUUACUACCUAUGAACUGACAACUGUAUCUUCAGUAAUUACAAUUUCCAACAAAAUGUUAUAGGAAUAAAGAAAAGAUGUUAGUUCAUUAUUCAGAGUUUAUGUUUAUUCCUUUAAUAAAAAGAAAUGGUCUGUAUUUCUUCUUUUCACAUUUAUUUCCUCAGUUCAAACCUGCUUUUCAGGUUAUCCUAUGACUUGAAGUUGACUAAUUUGUUCACCUUAAUUAGUUGUGUUGCAAUAUAUAUGUAAUUAGCUAUUUGCAUUGCAACCUGCACAAAAUUAUUCCUGUUCAUAAACUACUGAGAGGAAAGGGGCUUAAAGUUCAAAGGAGUUUAAUUAUGGUCUUGUAACCAUAUAGAAAAUAUUUGAAUGUUACAUUGGCAUUGGCUCUAUUGCAUUAAAAGAAGUUAUGAAUGACGAAUUGGCAAAGAUU